GACGUAGUAGCCAAGAUGGAAAGGCUCCGGACUGCAACUCGGGGAUCGUGAGUUCGAAUCUCACCUAUGUCU
RNAcentral lists this transfer RNA (72 nucleotides) under Butyrivibrio sp. RNAcentral describes it as "tRNA-Cys". It matches the Rfam family "tRNA". From Rfam's summary of the family: Transfer RNA (tRNA) molecules are approximately 80 nucleotides in length. Their secondary structure includes four short double-helical elements and three loops (D, anti-codon, and T loops). The record is from RNAcentral. Lineage: Bacteria; Bacillati; Bacillota; Clostridia; Lachnospirales; Lachnospiraceae.